GAUGAACGCUGGCGGCGUGCCUAAUACAUGCAAGUCGAGCGAACAGACGAGGAGCUUGCUCCUCUGACGUUAGCGGCGGACGGGUGAGUAACACGUGUAUAACCUACCUAUAAGACUGGGAUAACUUCGGGAAACCGGAGCUAAUACCGGAUAAUAUAUUGAACCGCAUGGUUCAAUAGUGAAAGACGGUUUUGCUGUCACUUCUAGAUGGAUCCGGGCCGCAUUAGCUAGUUGGUAAGGUAACGGCUUACCAAGGCAACGAUGCGUAGCCGACCUGAGAGAGGGGUAGCCGACAUUGGAACGGGAACGGGGACAAGAGUCCUACGGGAGGGCGCAGAAGGGAAUGGGCGGCAGUGGGCGGAAACAUGACGGAAUAGGGCGGAGUGAGUGACAACAACGUUGGGUGCGGAAAACCGGCUUUCGGGGGAUAAACAGCUGUCGAAGGAAAUGUACCGGGAGUGACGGUAACUAAUAAAAAAGCAACGGCUAACUACGUG
This 497-nucleotide ribosomal RNA is filed under the name uncultured bacterium. Its description in RNAcentral is "partial 16S ribosomal RNA". It matches the Rfam family "Bacterial small subunit ribosomal RNA", at positions 28 to 507 of the family's 1533-position model. The record is from RNAcentral.